GAACUGUUCAGGCUGUUGGACAUUCUCCAGACAUUAUGAAGCAACCUGAGGGAUAUUUGAAAAUAGUAUAGAAGUCUCCCUCAGGCCAUAAUUGAAUAUCUGGGGAUCCAAGUAAAUUAUUUCACAGCUCAUAAUAAUUGUCACAUAAUAUAGUCAAUCAAAAUAACUUGCAUUACCGACACGUGGAGUGCUUGUAAUCUCGCCAUCUGUUAAUAUUCUCUUCUAUAUAAAAUGGUUAAUCUAUGCCGUCCGUGAUUUAAUGCGACAUCAUAGAAUUACUAUGGCUUGAAUCGCUAUUUUCGCAUAUAGGCUGUGCAAUGGUGGUUGACCAUUGCAGUCUUUUAGCUGGUUAUUAAGCAAUGUUAUGGGUGCAUGCUUGCAUAUUACCUUGUCAUAUGCGACCUUGUGCUCCCCGGGUUCGGGCUGUAUCGAUCUUUCGGGCGAAAGAAUAGAUCUCUUCUUUCUUUCACGAUAUCAGCCAUUGGAUCAUGCAAGAACCGCUUCGAGAUCUUUGCCAGCAGAUAGAAGAGAGAGAUUGGAUUGCUUUAAAAUUUACACAAGAUGCGAUCUAACGGUUGGCAUCGUGAAAGAUACAACCCGAACCCGGGCUCCGCUUGUUUUACUAUGGCAGUCAGUACAAAAGUUGUAGUGCAUGUGAAUAUACAUAUGUAGAUCUACUGAAUAUACUUGUAUGAGAAGAAUCUCUUCAACCACCCCUGUACACAGAACAAUGCCAACGUCCAAAUCACUCCAUGGCAGAACGUAGCUCGCUUACUAAAGAUGAGGCCCUUUCUUAUCCAUGUAAGCCCAAGUCGCCCGACCAGAGCCCAUAAUUUGCCUGCGUAUCUCUGGUACGUGGGCCGGCCCUCUCGGCCCGGCAAAAGUUCAGAAGAGCUGCCUUGAGUGUACGGACCUUUCAUUAGUAAUAUUCUAACAAAAAACCAAAGUUCGGCUUCAGCGUCGAUCGGAACUCGGCUCUUCCUCGUUGCUUUUCUCUCUGGCUUUCUCUCUCGAUCUAGGGUUUGCAGGCAAUGGCGGGUGAAGAAAACCAAACGGCAAUCAAACGGCCUCAUCUCCCACUACCUGGAUUCUCGUCUUCGUCCCCAGGGCUGCAUCAUAGAGGCCAUAGGAAAGCUGAAGCAGGGUUGUGUUCGGGAUGCUUAUUGGUCUACCAGUAACAUUUGUCUACUAUUUUCUUCUUGGACUGUAGAGGAUGAACACAAGUUGGACUCACCUGUAAAGCUCGAUUUUCCAUUCUGUAGUGAUUUCACCACAAUAGCCUACAAUGUAACCCAUACCUGAAUACAUAUUCUUUCAGAUGAAUUUGUUGCUAUUCUUUUAGCUGGAAACGUUCAAGCCUGUGUUUUAAGGAUUUUUUUUUUUUUUUUUUUUUGUUAAGUCUAGCGAGAUCGUAAACCUAAAAUUGAGUCAUGAAUCAAGGAAAGUCCCAGCAAGAAAAAUUGACAAGAUUCCCUGAUAUCAUCUUAGUUCUAUGCUAAGGCAUGCCAUGGUACAAGCAGGUAUUGCAGGAGAGUAAACAAUGAAGGCAAUGAACAGAAACAGGGUAAAGACUCUGAACCAUCAUCAAUUUGUGGCCCCUCAUGAUAGGUUAACUGCCCUCCAGCUGCUGAACAGGAUUAAUUAUAAGAAGUUGCAAUGCCUUACUUUCUAGUUAUUUUUAUUGCUUACAGCAGGGAAAGGCAGUAAUGCUUGAACUUGGAGAAAAGUGGUGGUAGGCUGGCAAAAGCCUACUACCAGCAAAUCUAAUGAGGAUCGUCCAAAAGAAACAGAAUGCAUGGGAUGAGUGAAGUCAGAAGCGGUGGAGGAGGAAAUAAAAAGAGGGUUAGAAGAUAUCCAUUCUAAAGAAGACUGAUUAAAACAUGAACCUCCUCGAAAGACCUUUUUUUUUUUUGUAAUAAUGAUUAGAACAGAAGGAAGCUGGACGAAGCAAAGACAAGGCUUAGAAGAUAUCCAAUAUCCAACGAUUUCACCAAUUAAACCAGUUGGCACCCUUCGGACGAUUUCUGUGGAACAACACUUGUAGCAUCAAAGUGGGGAAAUAAAAUUAAAACAAUAGCAAGUCUGACAGCAAUGUGAGAUGAUGAUCACGAGCAUGAUGACUCUGAAGAAUCUAGUGUCAGGCACAGAAAGGACUACCAUUGGUGUAACCAGGAGAUCAGGAAACCCGGGAGACAUACAGAACAUUCUGCGUCUUCAGCAAUUUUUCAUGAUCUGCACCUUUGACUUCUAUUGUUCUUUCUAAUUUUGUGAUGUUUGUUUGUCCCACAACUAUCAGAGCAGCUGAUAUAAUAUGUUGGUGUUUCAUUUUCAGCUACUCUUCCACGCAUGGAACUAAGUAGAUUGGAAUGGUUGAACUACAAGAUUUGUGGUGGUAAAGAGAGAGACACCAAGAAAGUCAUGAUGUGUAAUCAUAACUGAUGGAUUUGGGGGCUCCACAGCAAGGACAAGUGCUUAAGAUA
Molecule: non-coding RNA, 2480 nt
Organism: Phoenix dactylifera (date palm)
Lineage: Eukaryota; Viridiplantae; Streptophyta; Magnoliopsida; Arecales; Arecaceae
Source: RefSeq, a predicted model, not a curated record